Long non-coding RNA from Salvelinus fontinalis (brook trout), 552 nucleotides. RefSeq lists it as uncharacterized. The transcript is spliced from 3 exons. Lineage: Eukaryota; Metazoa; Chordata; Actinopteri; Salmoniformes; Salmonidae. The record is from RefSeq and is a predicted model, not a curated record.
AGCCAAACAAUGACUCAUACAACAUAUAAAUGAUUGAGAUGGGGUCAUAGUAUGGAUAUUUUGGGAUCACAAGGUAAUUGGAUAUUGUUGUCAGGGGUGGUGCUUGUAGGUGGGGCUGAAUUGGACUACUUAUCUCAGUGCAUCUUAGUUUCUCAUCUAUGAAUGCUUUAUGGAAGGAAACACCAUGACAACUCCACUACUGAUGUUUGGUACGUGACCAUCACUAUCAAACUCUGCACAUUUGCUAGAAUUUGUGUGUACAAUCUCUGGACUUCCAUUCCUUAACAUUUGUUUGUUUCAUUUGUGCAGUUCUUCUGACUCUACCCUGCUACAGCGCACAUGGGCAGGUCAAUCCUUUUGGAAUUCCAGUCUCCGUCCAUGCUGAGAAGUUCUACGGCAUGUCUCCCAGAGAUCACGUCUGCGGCGGGGUUAAUUAUGACGUUCUAGAUUACACCUGCUGUGAAGGAGUACGGCAUAAAGGGGCGGGGCUGUCCUGCUGUGGAAAAAGGGCCUUCGGCCUCACCCAGGCUUCCUGUUGUACCUAUUCACUCA